GUGCUCGCUUCAGCAAUACAUAUAAUAAAAUUGGAAUGAUACAGAGAAGGUUAGCAUGGCUUCUGUGCAAGGAUGACACAAAUUCAUGAAACAUUCCAUUUUAAA
Small nuclear RNA from Pongo abelii (Sumatran orangutan), 105 nucleotides. NCBI's taxonomy places the organism in Eukaryota, Metazoa, Chordata, Mammalia, Primates, Hominidae. The record is from Ensembl.